This 496-nucleotide ribosomal RNA is filed under the name Pleophylla sp. DA3642. Its description in RNAcentral is "partial 16S large subunit ribosomal RNA". The stretch from base 370 to 496 matches the Rfam family "Bacterial large subunit ribosomal RNA", at positions 2473 to 2600 of the family's 2925-position model. The record is from RNAcentral. Lineage: Eukaryota; Metazoa; Arthropoda; Insecta; Coleoptera; Scarabaeidae.
UUUAAAGUCUAAUCUGCCCUAUGAGGAGUUGAAUGGCCGCAGUAUUUUGACUGUGCGAAGGUAGCAUAAUAAUUAGUUUUUUAAUUGAAAGCUGGAAUGAAUGAUUGGACGAGAAAAAAUCUGUCUCAAUUUUAUUUAAUUAGAAUUUUAUUUUUAAGUAAAAAAGCUUAAAUAUUUUUAAAAGACGAGAAGACCCUAUAGAGUUUUAUAUAUUUAUUUUUAUUUAUUUUUUAGUAUUAUAGAAUUUAUAUUAUUAAAUAGUAUUUAGUUGGGGUGACUAAAAAAUUAAUUAAACUUUUUUUUUAUUAUUACAUUAAUAUAUGAUUAAUUGAUCCAUUUUUUAUGAUUAUAAGAUUAAAUUACCUUAGGGAUAACAGCGUUAUUUUUUUUUAGAGUUCUAAUCGAAAAAAAAGUUUGCGACCUCGAUGUUGGAUUAAAAUUAAUAUUUGGUGAAGAAGCUAAGUUAUUAGGUCUGUUCGACCUUUAAAAUUUUACA